GUGCGGAGCUCUGACGAUGACGGGCUCAGAGGAGUGGAUGGAUCGAACCGGCUCGACUUUGGACUCCACCACAGUUUUUACAAAACUGGUCCAAUCAAACUGCAGACAGUCAGACGAGGAAACACAUACAGAAGGAAAUUGCUGCUGCGGUAAGAGAAGCUUUCAGAUGACAAGUAUAAGGGCUGAGAGAUGAAGCAGAAACUCACCGCCAGGGCAGAGGAAGAGUUGGUGGUGUAGUCUUCCCUCGAGGGCAGAGACAAGGAUGCCUGAUCGAGCUACAUGAGGACAGAGAGCACAGAAAUACCAGUGAACUGCGGAUGUCUGACCUUGAUGAUGUAGUGUGAGGAGUUUUUGUCAUCGGGGGACACGUACAGUCGGAUCAGGACGCUCUUACUGUGCUGGUUCCUCAUCUCGG
Molecule: long non-coding RNA, 415 nt
Organism: Acanthopagrus latus (yellowfin seabream)
Lineage: Eukaryota; Metazoa; Chordata; Actinopteri; Spariformes; Sparidae
Exons: 3
Source: RefSeq, a predicted model, not a curated record